Molecule: long non-coding RNA, 5978 nt
Filed under: Gossypium barbadense (sea-island cotton)
Lineage: Eukaryota; Viridiplantae; Streptophyta; Magnoliopsida; Malvales; Malvaceae
Description: long non-coding RNA (GBAR_LNC015834)
Source: RNAcentral
UUUCUCGGAAGAACCUUUUGCAUCAGGAGAUGCAGAUUCAGCAGAAUCUUUUUUCUCACUUGCUGUUGAUGGCGGAGCCUCCGGUUCUUCCAGUGUACAUGAUGAUCCUAAACCUUGGAUAAACGUGCUUUCUCUAAGAGAAGGUGAAUCCCAUGCCCUAUUUUUUUGCUUUACCAAGUUUACAUUGGCAUGGAAAGAGUUAACCCGAGCAUCUUUCUGAUUGUGAUGAUCAAAGUCCUGAUGUGUCCAAGAAGGUGAGGAAAUCAUACUUUUAUAUCUGCAUUCAUCCUGAGCUCCGUAAUCUAGGUUAGGUGCAUUGGAUACAUCAAUGAAUGCAAAAGAAUCACUAGAUGAACAUCGAUGACGGCCUUUGUACAUAGGACUCCCUGGUUCGUUAAGGAGAUUGUCAAGCCAAGAAGGUUGUUCCUCUAUCAGAUGACUUUCAGAGGAAGUAUGCUGGUGGUACGUACUUCCCACUCUAGACUUUUGAAUCACUUUUGAUCCAAUUACAUUGUUCGGGAUAUAAUCGGUAUACACAGGGGAGGCUAUAGGAAGAGGACUUUUAGGAGGAAGCAAAGCGUGUUUUCCGGCAAACAUCAAAUUUCUUAUAUUUGUUGACCCCUUCGAAUUCGCAAUGACCAAGGACAACCAGUUCCUGCAAAGUAACAUAUAAGAGAGACUGAUCAUGUAGUACCCUUGUUAUAUAGCAGAUAAUGAUCUAAACAUCAAAAUAUCCAUGUUCGAUGCACAAUAUAUGCGUAACAACGAGACAUUCCAGUAAAUAUUCACGAAAACAAACUAAAAGAUCACACAAGAACAUUAAAAAAAAAAUCAUGAAUUAUACAUUGCAUACAUAUUUCAACUUAUCGAGCAAUCACUGAAUUUUGUACCUUCAUAGCUUGUAAUAGCUAUUGUGCCCUUUCCCUUGACUUCUAAGUACUCACCAUUUCCAAUCCUCACUCUUUUGACUUCAGUGUUUCUCAAUUCCUCGAAGAGCUCCUUGUCAUACAUCAUGUGAUUUGUGCACCCACUGUCAAUCAACCAGCUCUCACUUGAUUCUCUUCCUGAGAAACAAGUAACCACGAACAAUUGAUCUUCGUUCAACUCAGAACCAAGCAAUCUCACCUUGUUGGCAAUGCUGAGAAGUCUGUCAGAAUAUUCUUUCACUGACUCAGACUCCUUCAUCUUCUGUAACUCGAAAUCCCCGAUUAGAUUCAGGACUUUCAUUCCACGAAUCCUUUCAUCUCCUUCGUACUCAGCCUUGAGGUAAUCCCAGAUUUCCUUUGCUGAUUUCAGAGACAUUAUUCGUGUGAAAAUCAUUUGAGACUCUGUUGCAAAUAAGCAAGCUUUUGCCUUUGAUUUCCUUGUCUUCUUUUCCUUUUGUGCUAUAAUCUGUGUCACAGUAGGAUUUGCUGGAAGUGGUGGGACCUCGUAAUCCUCUUCUACAAGUUCCCAAAGAUCUAAAGCCUCCAGGUAAGUCUUCAUGCGAACUGCCCACAUCUGGUAAUUGUCUCCAUCGAAGACUGGUGGUGCAGCAACUAAAAAACUGGACCCUCCUCCCAUCUUAACACGCAAAUAACCUCACAGAUCCCUGAAGAAAAUAACUCCGAUAGCAAUUUGUUGGUGAUUAGAACUCGAACUUUGACGAUUGAUCGAGAGAUUUGAAGCAGAAAGAAGAGAAAAGAAGUUUUAAGAUAGAAAAUAAUUAAAGACUGGAAUAAUAAUUGAUUUGCAAUUCAACAAUUUAAAUAUAAAAGUUCAAGACUAAAAAUAGAAAAAGAGUUCUAAAAAAUUGGCUAAAAUUCUGGUAACAAUAUACCAAACAAAUCAAGAAACUAAGCUCCUAAAGUCAAAGGAGAAUUAUUUAAACUUAGUAACAAAAAAAAUUAAAUGGCAGCAAUAAACACAUGAUCUCAACACUUUCUAAGAAGCAUAGCAACUUUUGGUAUACAUUUGAGCAGAACUUGAGUAAUUAUCACCAUGGCCCUUGACAACUUCAAUUUUAUAAUGUGGACCUGUAACUGUAUCAUCGUCUUUGUAAAGAACAAUAACAUCACCGGUAUUUAACCGUUUGAACCGGACAAAUUGGAUCCAACCGGAAACUAUGUCGAGUUUCGGAACAACCCCAGAUCGUAUAGUGCAAUAAAAGUUCCAUGAGAUUCCGACAUCAUCUUUAACCUGCAACUUUUCUCCUCCAUGGCUCCGUUGUGAUUGUUGCAAAGCUUGUAAGCAGCUGUCUGGUAACGAUAGUGUUCUUUCGAUGUCGAUUUUUGUGAGAACUUUAAAGAAACUUGCCAUGUUUGAACUGAAAAGUGGUCAAGUUUAUGCUUAUACUCCUAAAGAGAAAGAGAACGAGAACGAGACUGGAUUGAAAAUUGAAAACGCCAGAUAAAAUAAAACGAGGGAUCGUGCGUUUGUGAUUUGGGGUCUUUUUUAUUGAUUUUUGUUGGAUUAAAGAAAAAAAAAAGUUCUUACAUGUGGUUGUCAUUAGGUCAAAUGUCUUCUUUAAUAAUCAAAGUUGGUCGCUCGAGAUUUCGCAACCCAAUGGCUGUUACCUGCACUGUCGCGCGGCACCUUUUUUUUUUUUAAUUUUGUCCACUGAGUUUUAAUUUUAAUUUAAUUGAUAUUUUAUUGCAAUCAAUGUUAAUUGGAUUCGCAUAUAUUUGAUUGGUGAUACUAAUGAAUUUUUUAGAUGAGUGGUAUGUUUAUUUUCAGUUAUGAUAAAAAUAAUGAUAACAGUGAUAAGAUUAGAUAAUAUAACGUGAGAGAAAAAAAAUUAAACGCACUGUACUAGAAUUCACCGCCCAUCCAAAAGGAACUAAGAAUCAGUCAAAUAAAUGGGUUGAAUUAGUAAUCACUCGGAAUUAAUAAAUAAAAAUAAAAAAUUAAGAUUAAAAUUAAUGGUUGAAUCUAUUUUUAUAAAAUUUUUAAUAUUUUCUAUUAAUUUAUUUUAUCAUUGUUGGUUGAAUAAGGAUAGAAAUUGACGGUUGAACAUCGAAUAAAGAAUUAGUGAUCUGAUCAAUACAAUGUAAAAAAUUGUAGUAACUUGAACUCAAUCGAAUUUUAUUUUUGUGAUUUGAUUUAUAUUUAAUUUUUUUUAUGAUGUAAAAAUAAAUAUUUUAUAUUUAUAAUAGUGAAAAUAAAUUAAAUGGUAUUUGUUAGAAUGAGUUAACGUAGUUUUUAAACCCUAAACCCAAUUUCAGUUCAAGCAAUACAAAUGUUUAAUGGUAUUUGCUCAAGAGAAGCUGAACAUUCACCAUACAUAGAUUGGGAAUAUGGAAGUUGAAAGAGUAAUCAAAUGGAUCUAAUUAUGAAAAUGGUGAACCUAAUUUCUUCUUCCUGCUCCAAUUGCAGAAACCGAGAAAGGGUCGUCUCGGCUUUUGGGGUAUGCGGAAUCUACUUUCGUAGUAACCUCACACAUGUUUUGUGUCAUCUCAUGCGAUGAAGAGUUGAAGACGGGUACAACGUCCGGUGUAGAAGAAGAAUCUAUAUAACGGAGGUCGCAGUGGCGGCUAAAUUAAGAACUUAGAUGCGAACUGGACCGAUGAUAGGGUCAAGAGAGGAACUGCUAUCAUUAUGUUUCAGAGAGAGGUUUGCGAAUUGGGAAUCAAGAUCUCUACUGCUAGAGCAUUGAUGGCUAGACGACGACUGCUGUUGAUUUUGCUGCUGGUACAUAACUCGUAACCGACCGAUCUCCCUCUCCAAUACCUCCUGCUCAACUGAGAAGAAACAUGGAUGCAUAAUUCAGUCUUUAUUCAAUAAAUUUUGAUUCUAAUCAAUUAAAACAAUUACAGUUCAUAGCAACAUAGAUCGAUGAUGGGCCAUUAGCCACAUUGACCUUUUUCUAUCAUGCUUUUGGAAGAUCUAAUACAUUGUUAAGAGAACCUGCUAUGUCGAUAUGAUAAGUUUUUUUUAAUCACCCAACUAUAAAAAGUUAAAAAAUAUCACCCAUCUAUUCGAAUUUUUCUUUUUCGGUCACCAGCCAUUGGAAGGUAACUUGACAGCUUUUAAAAUUAACAUAGUAACAAAUUUAACUUCUCAACAUUUAUAUACUAUGUGAAUUUAGUCACGAUUUUAAAAAAUUUAACUCUUAACGUUUACACAUUGUGUAGCUUGGUCUACUUUUUUUUAAAAUAUUUUUCUUUAUGUCAUUCACUUAAAAAGUAAACCAAAAAAAAAACCAAAUUUAUCAAAAAUAUACUAAAAAUGAAAACACUAGGAAGUCCAAGAUAAUAUUUUUUAUCUUUUCUCAUUCUUUUAAAAUUAACCCUCGAUAUCACAAAUAAAAGUAAAACUGCAAAAAAAAAAAAAACAAAUUAUAUAGUGUAUAAAUAUUGAGGGUUAAUUGGUGAUAAAAAAAAAACAAAAGUGAAUAAUUGGGUGACCAUUUGUAACUUUUCAUAGUUGGUGAUUAAAAAAGAAAUUUACUAUUAAUUGAAUAACUACCAAUGUAGUUCAACUUAUAAUAUUCAUGUCCGACACACAUAUAUGACGCAUAUCCAAACAUGGAUAUGGGGCUACAACCCUCCAAAGGCACUCCAAAUAUAAGGAAAAGCCCAAGGGACAUCUACUCAUAUCCAACGCUCAUACCCGAGUCCCAUUUGUGCUCUCGAGGAAGGGGGAAAAUCAAAUUUUCCAAGCAUAGAACAAAACCAAAAGAAUAUGACAUGGACCCCCCCCCCCCUUUAACAUGAAGAGAAAACUAGUAAAAGUGGCUCAAACUAUCUGAAAAAUGAACUCUCCGGUGAUUUUUCAGAUCAAAGUUUCUACUCCCUGGAUUUAUCACACCUCUCGUAUUGCCAAUUCAUACAGGUCGAAAAUAUGGAGUAUAUACAAAUAAUUAGAAGGUAAAAAGAAAAAAAAAAGUGAAAAGUGAUACAUAUUUCGUAAUGCAGAAAAAAAAAAUCUAAUCAUAGCUUUAGAAGUCAUGGGUUCGAUGCUUACGAUAUUUGAUAGCUUGUUCUUGAGCUAAACUCUCUAAACGUUGCUUAAGAGCUUUGUUCUCCAUGCUAAGAAUAAGAUUCUGCUGGUUGAGAAAUUCGAGCUCAGCUGAAACUUCAGACCCUUCUGCCUGUUAUUUAAGAACCACAUUUCAUACUUCCAUAUUGAGGCAUAUACCGAUCCAUAACUUCUAAGUCAAUUUCAAAUGUAAAUAAAUGUUUAAAAUUUCGAUUUGCACAAACUCUUGCCUGCAAGGCUUGUACAUUUCUUUCGAGCUCAGCUAUGUACUGGAGUUUACGCCCCCUUGAGCGUUGAGCAAACUGCCUGGAUAAGACAAUAACAAAAGUACUGUAAUCAAACAUAAGAAAACAUAAUACGUAUUACUGUUAUGCUUCCAUAAGUAUCUAUGCAUGAAAAACCUGCUAACAGACAAUACAAAAGCAGGCUCAUAUACCUUGAUCCUGUAUGUGCAUGAAAAAAAAUAGUAGCACAAUAGCCAACUAGUGUUAUUCAUUGAGCUCAUAAAAUGUAACUUUUAAAUGAUAUUUGAUAACAGUGUGAGAUUCGGCUCAAAGUAAGCACAAGCAGGGAACAAAAAGUAGCACAGAGGCCCUUGUAACCAGGAGAACACUGUAGGUUGCUUUACUGUAAUUGUAAUGUAAUUCAAUUGUGAAACAAUAAAAUGGCAACUCACUGCUUCGCACGUUUUGAUUCAGUGUCAGAUGAAGAAGACUUAGUGUGAGAAUUAUCCUUUUUCUCGGAAGAACCUUUUGCAUCAGGAGAUGCAGAUUCAGCAGAAUCUUUUUUCUCACUUGCUGUUGAUGGCGGAGCCUCCGGUUCUUCCAGUGUACAUGAUGAUCCUAAACCUUGGAUAAACGUGCUUUCUCUAAGAGAAGGUGAAUCCCAUGCCCUAUUUUUUUGCUUUACCAAGUUUACAUUGGCAUGGAAAGAGUUAACCCGAGCAUCUUUCUGAUUGUGACGAUCAAAGUCCUGAUGUGUCCAAGAAGGUGAGGAAAUCAUACUUUUAUAUCUGCAUU